This 253-nucleotide ribosomal RNA is filed under the name uncultured bacterium. RNAcentral's name for it is "partial 16S ribosomal RNA". It matches the Rfam family "Bacterial small subunit ribosomal RNA", at positions 524 to 776 of the family's 1533-position model. The record is from RNAcentral.
UACGUAGGGUGCGAGCGUUAAUCGGAAUUACUGGGCGUAAAGCGUGCGCAGGCGGCUUUGUAAGACAGAUGUGAAAUCCCCGGGCUCAACCUGGGAACUGCAUUUGUGACUGCAAGGCUAGAGUACGGCAGAGGGGGAUGGAAUUCCGCGUGUAGCAGUGAAAUGCGUAGAUAUGCGGAGGAACACCAAUGGCGAAGGCAAUCCCCUGGGCCUGUACUGACGCUCAUGCACGGAAGCGUGGGGAGCAAACAGG